RNAcentral lists this long non-coding RNA (1388 nucleotides) under Callithrix jacchus (white-tufted-ear marmoset). Its description in RNAcentral is "lncRNA (ENSCJAG00000070227.1)". Lineage: Eukaryota; Metazoa; Chordata; Mammalia; Primates; Cebidae. The record is from RNAcentral.
AGAAAUGGAGAGAAAAGGCAAGACUUACUUGGCGACCAAAGGCUCAGCCGGACUCCAGUUCGGACUCGGCAGGUGUCUGUCAGCGCGGGCCCUGGCGGAAGGAGCGGGCGCAGCGCGGAGCAGGGACUCCACUUAGCGAGCACUGGAAACUCCCCUCGCCGCCCGGCCCCCGCGCGGCGCUCCUUGCUGUCACCGCUCCGAGAGACGCAGGCACGCUCCCCGCUGCCUCCUCGUCCCGCGCAAGGGAGCAUCCAUGUGGCAUACAGCUGUUGCACAUGCUGUGAUUGGAUGCUUUGUCCACUGAAGCUAGGCUGGAACAGGAUUGCCACUGGAGGAUGGUGAGAAAGAGGCUGUGUCCUCCUCAUGUCAGUUACAUCUUCAGAUGCUCAGCUGUCUAAUAGGAUCAGUAACAGCACAGCACAUUGCCAAGCCACAUGGAAGGAUGAAGCAAAAGAAAAUCUCAGUAAUAUUGAUUUUGUCUUUAUUUAAAAUGUUAAUAUGUUGUUCAUCAUAGAUUUACUGCAUUCAUUUUGAUUUAAUGAAAUAUUACAUUAUCAUUACCUUUAUUACUGAGUUUAUUUGAUGUCCACUUAAGUUUUUCACCUGAGGCAGCAAGGGCUUCACAUUCUUCAUUCUGAGUCAGGACCUGAACAAGACCUAAACAUUUUUCAUUUAUAUUCACUUAGGCAGUUGAGGUCUUGCCUUCGAUGUUUCUCUACAGCUUACUACAAAGAAAUGGUAGUUAAUGUAGGAAGAGGGCAACAUUCUCAUAGAGCUAGUUCCAGGAAGAUACCUAUGUGCCCCUGAUAGCAUUACAGAGUUUAGAAAUUUCUGCCUUCACUGCUUAUUUUACUUUUUCUCUUCUUCAGUUUGUUUCACUUCCAGUGAGUCAGAUCAUGGGCACUGGAACCAGAUGAAUAAGGAUUGAAAGCCCACUCAAGGAAUGAGUUAUUUUACCUGUCUGAGUCUCAAUGUUCUUAUUUAUUAAGUGAGGAUCAUUUUUAAGAUUCUUGCAUAAAGAAAUGAGUAUAGAAAGUCCAUCACAUACCUAGUCCACAGCAUGGACUUAAUAAAUGUCAUUCAUUUUUUCUACUCUAUUUCUACCUCCCAGUAUUCAACUUAAUUCUACAGAACUAAUCCAUUAGCUAGUACAUAGCAGAAACUGAAAAAACAAAUUGAAAUAUAUGUUUUAUUGCUAUAAUCCUAACUAUGUUACAGAGACCUACCUCAAUGCUAGAGUUCAUCCAUUGAGUUGGUUAUGUUUAAUAUUAGUUUAAUAUUUGAAAGAUAGCAAAAAAAGUUUGUUAGUUACUUAUAAUAGGUAGAGAAAAAUAAUCAGUAGGCUUCUUUAGAAACACUCUGAUUCCUGAUCUAAACCCCAAUCUUCA